Molecule: long non-coding RNA, 1779 nt
Organism: Suricata suricatta (meerkat)
Lineage: Eukaryota; Metazoa; Chordata; Mammalia; Carnivora; Herpestidae
Source: Ensembl
GGGCUUUGAGUCAAAACUGAGUCCUGUGCUGAGCCUGGCAUGUCUGACCCCGGGCUGAGAAUGUUCAGGAGGCACAGCCCCAAGGGCCAGCUGGGUCUUUCAUGUUUAGGACACACUCUCUCCACAGGACUCACCAGACCCCCAGGAAUCCAGUUCUAGAUGGUCUGAAAUGCUCAGCUUUUGCGGUUCUGAGGCUGAGCCCUGGUUGCCAGUGUGGAGGUGUCUCCUGCGCUGGAGUGUAGCGGAGUAGCUUCUCCGUCAACUGGGGCAUUCAAGUGCACCCCUCAGCCACCCCCAGGCAGCCAUGAGUGCGUUAGGUAAGCCCAUUCCUAAAAGGUGGUGGAAGACAAGCUCCUGUCCCCCGCAACCCAACGGUAUGAACCUUUCCGAUAAAGCUCAAGGCCAGCAGUGUGAUAGUGGGAGGAGAGAGACAGAUUCCUGCAAGCAGAUGCCAACUCUGAAGGUCAAACUAAGCUAUGGAGCUGCUUUAGGAGGAGGCCCAGAGUCCACCACAGCCCCACCCCAGGAUUCGGGGAGAGAGGUGAGGCCCCAUCCCCAGCUGCGUCCCAGGCCCUGAACUACCGAGACCCUCUCUGGGAGCAGCCUGGGGCCAGGAAGCCUGAGCUCUGCAGUCAGAGCUGGGUUCAAAGACCAGUUACUUAACAGCCCGUGUAACUGCAGAAGCCAAGGGCCUUAGCUGGUCCAGUGCUCAGCAACAGCAUGGGGACCCUGGCUCGCCUCCGCCAGCCCCCGUGUCCUCUGUGUCCCUCAGCUUUCCGGCCAGCACUUCCUGAAGCCUGAGAACUCCCAGCUUGCCUCUGCCUGGGGCUCCAGAAAGUCCUAGACUUCUUGGGUCCCAGCUCAUCCCAGAUGCUGAUUGGACAAGCCUGGCUCCGGAGCUUGCCCCAGUAUAGGGAGGGCCAACACCCCUAGAACCACACGGAGAAAGUGGGAGUGAGCCGCCCGCCCCCGCCCCCCCCAAGGAGCCAAUGUCAGGCACUGGGCAGAAACAGCACCCACGCCCACCCUGCUAAGCCGAGUUUGGAGGACUGCUUCUGGAGCACUGUGCUCAGCUUUAUGGCUUUCACCCACUGGGCGUCCCGCUGGCUAAGUUCCUUAGGCUCUCAGGAGCUCAUUUUCUUCAUCUUCGAAAUCUCAUAGGAUUCUUUUAAGGAUUGAAGGAGACAGUGCAUGCAAAUCCCUUGGCACCUUCCUGACCCAGAGGAGGGGCCGAUGCUAACUCGUUCCCUUUCUCUUCCCUGUAUGUAGGUUCUAUGUGAUUCCAUCGAGAUCUGUAUGGUCUGAAAGAGCAGUGUGUGUGUGUGUGUGUGUGUGUGUGUGUGUGUGUGCGUGCAUGUGCACACAGUAGGCCUGGCCCUUUCUCUUCUCCAAGGAGUUUGUAUUGGCUGGCUUCUCUCCGGAGAUGGUUGAGGUCUACACAGGACAGAGGGUAGAGGCAAGAGGGACCAGAGAGGGGUGGGUAGAGAAGCCUGUGGGCUCAGGCCUGCCUCUGGAGUCUGCGUGCCCUCAGCUCCGGCUGCAGCUGGAGGAAGGGCCCCAUCUCUAAGGAGUAGCUGCCCCCGGCCCUCCCGCACCGCAUCGUCAGUGUCUGGUCAUUUGACACUGGGUGUGAGGGGUCCUGCCCUGAGCUAGAGUUGCUGAUCUCCUAUAUUCUCUCUCUUGCAACCCCGGAACCUGGGGCCUGGGUCACUUGCGGAACCCAGGCCUGAGGCUUCUCAGAAGAGGAAGCCUAGGGGUGCCUGGGUGGCUCAGUCCAUU